This 315-nucleotide ribosomal RNA is filed under the name uncultured bacterium. RNAcentral describes it as "SSU rRNA". It matches the Rfam family "Bacterial small subunit ribosomal RNA", at positions 192 to 484 of the family's 1533-position model. The record is from RNAcentral.
UCUGAGGAGGAAAAGCGGGGGGACUCGCAAGGGCCUCGCGCUGCAGGANCGGCCGAUGUCGGAUUAGCUAGGUUGGUGAGGUAAAAGGCUCACCAAGGCGACGAUCCGUAGCUGGUCUGAGAGGAUGAUCAGGCCACACUGGGACUGAGACACGGCCCAGACUCCUACGGGAGGCAGCAGUGGGGAAUUUUGGACAAUGGGGGCAACCCUGAUCCAGCCAUGCCGCGUGAGUGAAGAAGGCCUUCGGGUUGUAAANAUCUUUCGGACGGAACGAAACGGUUACGGUGAAUGGCGUGCCUAAAAAGGUACCGUAAG